AUACGUAGGUGGCAAGCGUUGUCCGGAAUUACUGGGUGUAAAGGGCGUGUAGGCGGAGCGGCAAGUCAGAAGUGAAAUCUCCGGGCUUAACCCGGAAACUGCUUUUGAAACUGUCGCCCUUGAGUAUCGGAGAGGCAGGCGGAAUUCCUAGUGUAGCGGUGAAAUGCGUAGAUAUUAGGAGGAACACCAGGGGCUAAGGUGACAUGCUGUACGACAACUGAAGCUGAGACGCGAAAGCGUAGGGAGCAAACAGGAUUAGAUACCCUGGUAGUCCACACUGUAAACGAUGAUUGCUAGGUGUUGGGGGUCUGACCCCUUCCGUGCCGGAGUUAACGCAAUAAGCAAUCCACCUGGGGCGUUCGGCCGCAAGGUUGAAACUCAAAUGAAUUGACGGGG
RNAcentral lists this ribosomal RNA (396 nucleotides) under uncultured bacterium. RNAcentral describes it as "partial 16S ribosomal RNA". It matches the Rfam family "Bacterial small subunit ribosomal RNA", at positions 523 to 918 of the family's 1533-position model. The record is from RNAcentral.